AUGAUCUCUGGUCUCUUGGUGAAGGGAGCAAACACCACAAGUAUUAUCAAUAUUCAUCCCCCAUCGAGAAAGUCUCCCUUUAGUAGGCAGGCGAUCUAAAUUUGCAGUCCACAUGUUGAAGGCAUGCCUUGGAGUGGCACCUUUGAACCAAACUGAGCUAUACCAAUCCACAGCGUUUUCUCUCGGCCUAAGGACAGACCAGGUGCCUUUAGAAGAGAAGCCAUCAACAAUUUUACCAUCAAUACUCCAGUCGUAAGAGUCAGUUUCCAGAGAUUCUAUAGGCAAGUUGAUGGUGGUGAGGAAAGUAUGUAGACGCAGAGCCUCAUCAGAUCUAGGAUUUGCGAGAGUCCAUCCAUCUAGAUUACAAGAGUCGCUGACUUUAGCAUUGAGAGGAACCCUUAAGCUCCUUGGACCAUCGGGACCAAUAAACUUGAUAAGAGGACCGAAGAUAGUCCAAUUAUCAAACCAAAAACUGGCUCUUCUACCAUUUCCAAUAGUGCAUUUGACAAAAUUCUCAGCCAAGACUCUUAGCCUUAGUAUACUCUUCCAGCUCCAAGGAUCGUUGGCCUUUUCUACUUGGUUCCAGAAACUGGUAGUUGUUAGAGGUUAAUUGAGUUUGGUCGCUUGCUUUAUUUAAUUAUGUUUGUUUGUUAAGUUUAUACAUUAAGAGGUGUGUCUUGUCUUAAGGGUAGUUAUGUUAAGAGUUAGAAGUGAAGAGUCACAACCCUUGUUAUUAGUGUUGUUUGGUCGUGUCUUUUGAAUACUAUAAGAACACGUUGUCUUUGUUUGUAACACAAAAAAAUUCAGAUUCUCAAUUAAUAAAGUUUCAGUUUUCACAACUCUGUUUCUGUCUCUCUCGUCAAGUCUCUCUGUUUAUUUAUCAAAGUCCUUUGAUAAUCCAACAUGGUAUCAGAGCUCUAUUGAUUCGAGGGCCAAUUCGAGUACAAAGACAAGAAAAAUUCAGAAAAGAAGUUCUAUCAAAAAUCUGAGAUCAUGGAAGCAACAACGCUUCAAGUGAUUCCCAUAUUUGAUGGGAAUAAUUAUGCUUUCUGGCGGAUUAAGAUGAAGACCAUCUUAAGAACACGGAAGUUGUGGGAAGUGGUGGAGACUGGUGUUCCAACUAUGCCGACGCAAGGAGAUCACAGUCCAGAAGCCGUUCAAUUGAAAACCAAAUGGGAGAAUUCAUCAUCAAAAGAUCUGAUGGCGUUGCAACUGUUGCAAACUGCUGUCACGGAUCAGAUUUUUCCUCGGAUAGCACCAGCAGCCACAUCAAAGGAUGCUUGGGAUGCAUUGGUGUCAGAAUUUGAAGGAUCUCCACAAGUACGAUUGAUCAACUUGCAAUCGUUGAGAAGGGAGUAUGAAAACUUGAAGAUGAAUGAAGAAGACAACAUCAAAGUUUUCACAGAAAAGUUAAUUGAUUUGGGAAAUCAAUUAAGGGUGCAUGGAGAAGAGAAGACGGACUACCAAAUUGUCCAGAAGAUUCUCAUAUCUCUCCCCGCAAGGUUUGACAGCAUAGUGGCUGUGAUGGAGCAAACGAAGGAUCUAACUUCGUUGCCGGUAACAGAGUUGAUAGGUACUUUAAAAGCGCAUGAGAAACGCGUAAAUAUCAGAGAAGACCGAUCAACGGAAGGAGCAUUCUAUGGAGAAAAGUUUGUUUCAAAAGGAAGAAACAAACGUGGCGACAAUAGUCAAAAUAAGGCCGAGAAAUGGUGUGACUUUUGUACGUGUGACAAUCACAAUGAGAGUGAUUGUUGGAGAAAGCAACACAGGGAUGUUAGCUUGCCUACGGGUGUAAGGUGCUUUGCGUGUAAGAAGCUAGGGCACGUGGUGAAGAACUGCAAGGUUAGGAAGGCCGAGAGAGCGUACCUAAGUCUAGAAGAAACAGACGAAGAGAGUGACAAUGAAGGUCACAUGCUGUUCAGUGCAGUUGAAGUAGCAUCAUCAUCAAACGUGAAUGAUGAGAGAGGGUUUGAAGACUCAACGUAUCAAGGGUUGAAGAACUGAGAAGCAAGUGUGGUGUGAGACCGAAACUCAAUUAAGGGGGAGUGUUAGAGGUUAAUUGAGUUUGGUCGCUUGCUUUAUUUAAUUAUGUUUGUUUGUUAAGUUUAUACAUUAAGAGGUGUGUCUUGUCUUAAGGGUAGUUAUGUUA
Molecule: long non-coding RNA, 2149 nt
Filed under: Arabidopsis lyrata
Lineage: Eukaryota; Viridiplantae; Streptophyta; Magnoliopsida; Brassicales; Brassicaceae
Description: long non-coding RNA (ALYR_LNC002374)
Source: RNAcentral